This is a long non-coding RNA of Odocoileus virginianus texanus, 248 nucleotides long. RefSeq lists it as uncharacterized. The record is from RefSeq and is a predicted model, not a curated record. NCBI's taxonomy places the organism in Eukaryota, Metazoa, Chordata, Mammalia, Artiodactyla, Cervidae.
CGGCUCGGCGGCUGAGAGCGAUCUCUGGAGCGCUGGAAGGGUGUGUUCGCGCGCUGGCGCUCCAGGGUUAAGUCCGUGGCUCUGGCGCUGUGAAUCUGAAUCUGAGCCUCGGCUCCUCCGCUCACUAGCAGUGUGACCAUGGGUGCCAAGUCCACUGCCUCGCCCUGUUGGUGCUCAGUGGAUGUUAGAUGGAUGGAGGGAUUUUAUAAAUUGUGAAUACCGGGCAUUUAAUAAAUGUUUUCUGAAUU